RNAcentral lists this long non-coding RNA (1101 nucleotides) under Bemisia tabaci. RNAcentral describes it as "lncRNA ENSSSA2NGG002235". The record is from RNAcentral. Lineage: Eukaryota; Metazoa; Arthropoda; Insecta; Hemiptera; Aleyrodidae.
UAUUUUUAAUGAAGAAAGUGGAUACAAGCAUUAUGGUAAGUGCUUUAGUUGGUCUCUCUCUAAUUCUUGACCUUUUUUCUGCUAUGGAAUCAGAAUAAACUGGUGCUGAAACGAGGUCCGUCCCAACGCUCACGAUGAACACAGCCACUGGCGGAAUUAUUAAUAAACCGCAAAUACCUCCCCUGUAACCGUAGCAACUCCUGUAACUUCCAGUGUUCUUCCUCCAACGACAACUCCACAACAAACACCUGCUGCACCAGCUGUGAAGAAAGCAGUAUCUGUGAUCGCAAGUCGGCAAGAUCAGCCAGAUGUUAAACCGGUCGUUGUUGAGCCCCCAACUGUCCCUCAAUUUACUCCAGCGGUAGUGAAAGUGGAAGCAGAAUCCACUGGAUUGGCACCAAGUAAAACAGAAGUCAAACCUCCAGUACUGCAACACAAUACUGCACCUGUAGUUCCAAAUAUCACCUCAACAGAGCCUCCAGUUCCCAUUCCCAGCGUGGGCAGUCCCGAAAACGGAGGUUGAGUCGCCCUCCACAACUCAGUCAUGCCCCAUCCCUCCCUUGCAAAUGCCUCAACCAUCAAAUGGUAGCAUUAGCAAUCCAAUCAAUUUGUUAGUGCAGCCGCCUAAAGAAGAAAAACCGUCCUUUGCUGAAGCUCCCACAAGCACAUCAAAUUCCUUGCCAGAACCUGCGAAACAAAAUAGUGUGAGCUACAAUAACAAUAAUACACCUUCCUACAGACCAAAGCUUCCAGAACAAAACUUAAAAAAUGCCAGCUCAUGGUCGUCUUUAGCCCAAUCCUCACCAUCAAUGCUGGUACCCCCUACCCCUCCUCCCUCAGCUGCUCUAAAGUCAGCGGUAGCGGAUAGUUUCCAGGCAUUCAGGGAACAAGCCAAGGAACGUGCCAAAAAAGGAGAGAGCCUUAAUCGAACAACAAGAGCUACGAAGAGCCCAAAAGGAGCAAGCAGAAAAGGAAAGAUUACUUUUUAGAAAAUGAAAACGUAAGGAGAGGGAAGAAGAAGAAGCUUUAGAAAGAGCAAGGUAUGUGUAUCUCACCCAAAGUUCUGUCAGAAAUUUUCUCCCGACAGUUGUCCAUUCCUUU